AAGUAGGACCUGCCCUGUGAUUUUUUUUCGGCUGCAGUAUUUUGACUGUGCUAAGGUAGCAUAAUGAUUUGCCUUUUAAUUGGGGGCUAGAAUGAAUGGUUUAACGAGGAAAGAGCUUUUUUUAUUUUUAAAUUAAAUUUUCUAAAAAGGUUAAAAAGCCUUUAAACUUUAGGGGGACGAUAAGACCCUAUAAAACUUUACUUUUAAUAAAUUUUAAAAAGAUUAUGAGAUUUUUAUAAAUUUUUAUUUAAGAGCUUUGCUGGGGCGGCAAAUUUUUAAAUUAAUACACAAACUUUAUUAUAACAUUUAUAAAUGAUUUUUUUAAACCUAAUUUAAUAAUUAAGAUCAAGUUACUUGAGGGAUAACAGCACAAUAUUAUUUUAGAGUCCCUAUCGAAAAAAAUGUUUAUGACCUCGAUGUUGAAUUGAAAGUUCUUUAGUGUGUAGCCUUAUUAGAAGUAAAGUCUGUU
RNAcentral lists this ribosomal RNA (469 nucleotides) under Chaetarcturus longispinosus. RNAcentral's name for it is "partial 16S small subunit ribosomal RNA". It matches the Rfam family "Bacterial large subunit ribosomal RNA", at positions 1850 to 2581 of the family's 2925-position model. The record is from RNAcentral. Lineage: Eukaryota; Metazoa; Arthropoda; Malacostraca; Isopoda; Arcturidae.